CCGUCUUGAAACACGGACGGCUGCAUAUCAAUAAGCGGAGGAAAAGAAACAACAGGGAUUGCCUUAGUACACGGCGAGUGUAAGCGGCAAUAGCUCAAAUUUGAAAUCCGCCCCUGGGGCUGAGUUGUAAUUUGUAGAGGACGCUCUGAGUUAAGCGCUUUCCGAGUCCCCUGGAACGGGGCGCCAGAGAGGGUGAGAGCCCCGUAUGGUUGUGUGCUAUGACUUUUGUAGAGCUCCUUCGACGAGUCGAGUAGUUUGGGAAUGCUGCUCUAAAUGGGAGGUAAAUUCCUUCUAAAGCUAAAUAUCUGCCAGAGACCGAUAGCGCACAAGUAGAGUGAUCGAAAGAUGAAAAGCACUUUGAAAAGAGAGUUAAAUAGCACGUGAAAUUGUUGAAAGGGAAGCGCUUAUAACCAGAUUUGCGCUGAGGUGCUCUCCUGCUAUUCUUAGCAGUGUACUCGCCUCAGCGCAGGCUAGCAUCAGUUUCCGUUGCGGGAUAAAGGGUUCGGGAACGUAGCUCUCCCUAGGAGAAGUGUUAUUAGCCCGUUGCUAGAAAUACCGCUGCGCGGACUGGAGGGAUACGGAUAGGCAAGGAUGCUGGGCGGUAAUGGUUUAUUUAGCCGACCCCGUCUUUGAAAGAC
Molecule: ribosomal RNA, 638 nt
Filed under: Camarotella licaniae
Lineage: Eukaryota; Fungi; Ascomycota; Sordariomycetes; Phyllachorales; Phyllachoraceae
Description: partial 28S ribosomal RNA
Rfam family: Eukaryotic large subunit ribosomal RNA
Source: RNAcentral